UACGUAGGUUGCAAGCGUUACUCGGAUUCACUAGGCGUAAAGCGAGUGUAGGUGGGUAGCUAAGUUUUCUGUGCAAGCCCUGGGCUUAACCCAGGGAGGUCAGAGAAUACUGGCUAUCUGGAGUAAGGUAGGGGAAACUGGAAUUCCCGGUGUAGCGGUGAAAUGCGUAGAUAUCGGGAGGAACGCCCAUGGCGAAGGCAGGUUUCUGGGCCUUUACUGACACUGAGACUCAAAAGCUAGGGGAGCAAACAGG
This 253-nucleotide ribosomal RNA is filed under the name uncultured bacterium. RNAcentral describes it as "partial 16S ribosomal RNA". It matches the Rfam family "Bacterial small subunit ribosomal RNA", at positions 524 to 776 of the family's 1533-position model. The record is from RNAcentral.